GGAUUAGAUACCCUGGUAGUCCACGCCGUAAACGAUGGUCACUAGCUGUUCGGACUUCGGUCUGAGUGGCUAAGCGAAAGUGAUAAGUGACCCACCUGGGGAGUACGUUCGCAAGAAUGAAACUCAAAGGAAUUGACGGGGGCCCGCACAAGCGGUGGAGCAUGUGGUUUAAUUCGAUGAUACGCGAGGAACCUUACCAGGGCUUAAAUGUAAGUUGCAUGAUUUAGAGAUAGAUCUUUCUUCGGACUACUUACAAGGUGCUGCAUGGUUGUCGUCAGCUCGUGCCG
RNAcentral lists this ribosomal RNA (287 nucleotides) under uncultured bacterium. Its description in RNAcentral is "partial 16S ribosomal RNA". It matches the Rfam family "Bacterial small subunit ribosomal RNA", at positions 775 to 1067 of the family's 1533-position model. The record is from RNAcentral.